This 188-nucleotide ribosomal RNA is filed under the name Laceyella tengchongensis. Its description in RNAcentral is "16S rRNA. Bacterial SSU". It matches the Rfam family "Bacterial small subunit ribosomal RNA", at positions 1349 to 1533 of the family's 1533-position model. The record is from RNAcentral. Lineage: Bacteria; Bacillati; Bacillota; Bacilli; Caryophanales; Thermoactinomycetaceae.
UCAGCAUGCCGCGGUGAAUACGUUCCCGGGCCUUGUACACACCGCCCGUCACACCACGAGAGUUUGCAACACCCGAAGUCGGUGAGGUAACCUUUAUGGAACCAGCCGCCGAAGGUGGGGCAGAUGAUUGGGGUGAAGUCGUAACAAGGUAUCCCUACCGGAAGGUGGGGAUGGAUCACCUCCUUUCU